GGGGCCUUAAUGGUUUCGACGUGUUGGCGAAAGCUGCACCGUGAUACAGGUCGAGAGUGAGUCUCCUCUCGUAAAUCCAAGGCUCAAACAAAAAAGUAAAUGCGAACAACAUCGUAAACUUCCAGCGUCAAGAGGCUCUCGUAGCCUAAAAAUUACUAUCUAAGUAAGACGCUACUUACAGUUCGACUCCGUUAAGGAUUGUGAGUUUAACCCCAACGGAUGCACCAAUAAUUUGCCUCUGGUCAAUGAGUUGGUAAAGACCUUACCAGAGAAUCCCACCAUCGGGGAUAAGUGAUGGUUCCCGCCUUGAGGGCAAGAUAGGCUAAACCUGUGAAGGAUCGGUAAGUCAAUACCCAGUGCGGACACGGGUUCAAUUCCCGUAGGCUCCAUUU
RNAcentral lists this transfer-messenger RNA (392 nucleotides) under Zarconia navalis LEGE 11467. It matches the Rfam family "transfer-messenger RNA". Rfam says of the family: Bacterial tmRNA, also known as 10Sa RNA or SsrA, is named for its dual tRNA and mRNA-like properties. Its role is to liberate the mRNA from a stalled ribosome. To accomplish this part of the tmRNA is used as a reading frame that ends in a translation stop signal. Lineage: Bacteria; Bacillati; Cyanobacteriota; Cyanophyceae; Oscillatoriales. The record is from Rfam by way of RNAcentral. RNAcentral also lists the same sequence under 1 other name.